UACGAAGGGGGCUAGCGUUGUUCGGAAUCACUGGGCGUAAAGCGCACGUAGGCGGAUCUUUAAGUCAGAGGUGAAAUCCCAAGGCUCAACCUUGGAACUGCCUUUGAUACUGGGGAUCUCGAGUCCGGGAGAGGUGAGCGGAACUGCGAGUGUAGAGGUGAAAUUCGUAGAUAUUCGCAAGAACACCAGUGGCGAAGGCGGCUCACUGGCCCGGUACUGACGCUGAGGUGCGAAAGCGUGGGGAGCAAACAGG
RNAcentral lists this ribosomal RNA (253 nucleotides) under uncultured bacterium. RNAcentral describes it as "partial 16S ribosomal RNA". It matches the Rfam family "Bacterial small subunit ribosomal RNA", at positions 524 to 776 of the family's 1533-position model. The record is from RNAcentral.